CGCGUAGGCGGUGCGGUAAGUCACUUGUGAAAUCUCUGAGCUUAACUCAGAACGGCCAAGUGAUACUGCAGUACUAGAGUGCAGAAGGGGCAAUCAGAAUUCUUGGUGUAGCGGUGAAAUGCGUAGAUAUCAAGAGGAAUACCUGAGGUGAAGACGGGUUGCUAGGCUGACACUGACGCUGAGGCGCGAAAGCCAGGGGAGCAAACG
RNAcentral lists this ribosomal RNA (207 nucleotides) under uncultured bacterium. RNAcentral's name for it is "partial 16S ribosomal RNA". It matches the Rfam family "Bacterial small subunit ribosomal RNA", at positions 568 to 774 of the family's 1533-position model. The record is from RNAcentral.